This 1119-nucleotide long non-coding RNA is filed under the name Oryctolagus cuniculus (rabbit). RNAcentral describes it as "lncRNA (ENSOCUG00000032255.1)". Lineage: Eukaryota; Metazoa; Chordata; Mammalia; Lagomorpha; Leporidae. The record is from RNAcentral.
AUGUGGUGUCCUGGCCCAAUGCCUGUCCCCAGCGGGGUCGUGAGGGGCUUCAGGAAUGGGGUUACAGUCCUUAUGAAAAAGACCCCCCCCCAGAGCUCUGUCUUCCUCCCGCCUUCUGAGGACAAAGCAAGGGGGCACUCAGGGGGCAGUGCUGCCGCCCCAGCCCGGAGCCGCUGUGAUGGUGGCCAGGUCUGCGGGACAGCCCUUGUUGGGGCAGCCUUGGCCAGCCCGUGCCAAGGCGGGCACAAGCCGGGGAGCGGUCAGGGAGGCCGGGCGGCUGGAGGUGAUUCUAGGAGGAGUCCCGCCCGCGUCCUGCUCAGGAGGCUCCCGCACGUGCACCGCAACCGGGCGUACCACGCGCACGCCGUGGCUUUCCAGGAAUCAGCGUGGCGUGAGCAGCCACUGCACUUUCUAAGCUGGCCGGCGCCACUGAACGCCGCGCCACGGCACUCUGCGUCCACAACCUCCGAGGGGCACAGCGCAGCUCCUCAGGAACGGAACCGCACGCGUGGACAGGCGCCCCGCGGGAAAUCCUACCCGGGGUCCACGGAAGGGCCCGGGGCGUGGCCCGCUCAGGAGCCCGCGGGCACGCGGCGGGACGGCCCCCGGUGCGGGGUCCAUGGGUGCCACCCUCACCACAGCUCCCACUCCGCAACCGAAGCUCGCGGAGUCCGCGUCUGCGGAAACUGUCACGCCACGCCGCCACGCGUGCCGCCCAUCCCCCUCGGCAUGCAGGAAGUGGGGUGCACACCUGGCCCACCGCCUACCUGCCGCUGUCACCCCAAGACCGCGUCUUUGUUCCUCGGACGCCGCCCGCGGCCACCGCACUCCGCUCCGGCCACUCACGCGGUUACUCCCCCAGCAGACGGCCACCCGCACCGGCCACGGCCACGCGAGCCUGCGCGUGUACCUGCUGGAGUGGGUGCACACCGGCCGGCAGGCGCCUCUCCCGCGCCAGCGGACGCGUCACGGCCACACACGCGCCGUCCUCUGCGCGGCCCUGGCAACAGCGGCGCCCGCACACGCACGCGCACGUGCGUCACCGCCCCCCGGGCAGAUCCCCGCGCGUCACUCGCGCCCUCCCACGCAGGUGCGUCACACGUGUGUACAUACAUGUGA